Non-coding RNA from Fusarium torulosum, 74 nucleotides. NCBI's taxonomy places the organism in Eukaryota, Fungi, Ascomycota, Sordariomycetes, Hypocreales, Nectriaceae. The record is from the annotation of a GenBank genome assembly.
GGCUCCUUGGUCUAGUUGGUUAUGGCAUCUCGUUAACACCGAGAAGCUGUCUGGUUUGAUCCCGGGCGGAACCA